GGUUCCUCCCUGCCAAGUCCCUGAGUUUGUGUGAGUCCUUGAGAGAAGACAGUAUGGCUACCAUGUUCUACAGCUAGGUGAGAAGCAUACUGAAAGGCAGACUGCCAUGUUUGUCCAGUUACAUUUGCCAAUUGUCUGUAGCUGCCUUAGAUAUGAGAUGCACAGGAUUUCCUUGGAACAUAGGUUUUCAAAGAACAAAAUAAUUUUACACAGAACUCAAGCUGUGAAGCUACUGAAUCAAUGCAAAUGGCUGGUGACUGUAAAUAUGGCGAAGUAGCUUAUGUUGAGACAACGCAAUUUGCUCAAGACAUCAUCUCCUUUGCAAAACAUUACACAUGACUAUGAAAAAGGUCAAGAAUGAAGGUGUAUUUAUAUUAAUUAACACUUCAUAGACAACAGGUCCAAUGCUUACUGUUUCAAAGACAUGAAAAUGAAUUUAUUAGUAGCUGGCCUUGGAUUGUUACGAUAUAGCACUGUGAUGCCAAUAGAUAAAAAAUUCUUACUAAAUAAAUAUGCAAUCAAAUGAAGUAUGUUGCUUGUAUAAAUUAUGGGGGUAUAUUUCUGUUUACAAUAACCUGUUUUUGUGAUAAUGGAGAAUCAAUAUAUGACAAAACAUUC
Long non-coding RNA from Acinonyx jubatus (cheetah), 618 nucleotides. RefSeq lists it as uncharacterized. The transcript has 3 exons. The record is from RefSeq and is a predicted model, not a curated record. NCBI's taxonomy places the organism in Eukaryota, Metazoa, Chordata, Mammalia, Carnivora, Felidae.